AGCUGCCACAGUGAAAUAUGCACCAAUUCUACGGCUUACUCAACUUCCACGAACCAAAAGCUAUAUGGGAAAACAGUCUAUAGCAAACAAAUGAAUUGCAGCUUUAAUAGCAAAAAAGCAGAAGUCAAGGCAUUAAUAAAGAAAGAAACCCUUUCACACAUUUCGCACAAUCCACCCCCAUGCAUGGAACAUGCAAGUCAAAAUUUGAGUUGGAGGUGUUUAAAUUGUUAGCUCAGCUACAAUUCAGAGUUUUUCAGUACGUUUCCAGCGAAUUAACUAAUUUCACACACAACUGUGGAAUAUUGGCGAAAAAUGGUUGAGCUCAACUUUUUUGUUUACUUUCCGAUCGGAUUCAAAUAUUUUUUAAAUAAUCUUUGCAAGACGUUUUUGAGAUGUGUUGAAUAUUUUAUAGAAUGUCGUUGAAACUAACUACAUACAAGAGUUGCUAACAUAA
This is a non-coding RNA of Drosophila virilis, 454 nucleotides long. Lineage: Eukaryota; Metazoa; Arthropoda; Insecta; Diptera; Drosophilidae. The record is from RefSeq and is a predicted model, not a curated record.